RNAcentral lists this long non-coding RNA (1143 nucleotides) under Felis catus (domestic cat). RNAcentral's name for it is "lncRNA (ENSFCAG00000047806.1)". Lineage: Eukaryota; Metazoa; Chordata; Mammalia; Carnivora; Felidae. The record is from RNAcentral.
AUGUGCUGGAACCGCAGCGGUCUGUUAGCACGCCUUGGUGGUGGCGUGAUGGAUGACGGCCCAGCCGCCCGCCCAGCUGCCAAUGAAGGCACACGGCCGCUGGCAGCGAGGACGGGGGCUGGCCAGGGUGGGGGUCUGCUGCCUCCUUUUGUGCCGUCGGUAGAGCUACCCCUGGGGACCGGGAGGUGCAAAGUCCCCUCCGUGCAUGCAAACCAGGCCAGGGGGUGGGGAGGGGACACAGGCGGGCUUGCCAGGAAAACCCAGGACACCCAGCGAGCUCUGAAACUCAGAUGUUGGCAAGGGAGUGUGUCCCGUGCACUGCCUGACACGCACUCCCUUUGUGUCCGAAGUUCAAACGGAACCGGGGGCCCUGUAUUUUGCUUCGCUAACUCCGGCCCCCCGCGACCUGGCCCCCGUCGCCAACCGAUAGCACCGGACGCUCGCUGUUCGUCACGCCCCCGGGCCACCUGUCCAGGCCGCUGGGAGCUGCGCUCGGACAGAAGCCAAGGAGUUCUUGGCAUCUGGAGUCCAGGAGUCCGGGAACCUCGGGCAGGCACAGUCAGGUCACGAGGCUCGGGCAGAGGGAAGGAGCCACCUGGUCCAGUCGAGGCCGUGGGAAGCAGGAGACGGGGGCCGAUGGCGUUCCUGAAGUUUGCUGCAUUCCGCCAGCUCGUGCUCGGCAAGGGGUUGCCAAUGCGGAGCCAGGAGAGGCACGGCCUCUGUCCUGAGGGAGGGCCCGGAGGACGCUGCGGAAUUUCCCACCCUAAUUACCCUGGACUCACCCUCAGUCGCUGGCCGUGUCGUCCCCGCACCUCCUCGCGCCCCCGAAAUCAGCUGCUAAGCCCUGACCAUCCCUCACCUGCAAUGUGUCCCGCGUCCAACAGCACCGAAGCCACCCUGCUGCUCUUUGCUUUAUGUCCUCGUUGGCUCCACCUUGGAGGCACUGCCCUCUAUAAAUGUGCCCGUCUCGGGUCACAGGCCACCCCGUGCCACCUUUCUGGCUCUGAGGCAGUGCAGGCCGGCUGGACGCCCAAGUCCAGACGCACUGGCAUGGCAUUCAGAGCCCCCCCGAGGUGCGUGCGCCCGGCCUCGUCUCCCGCCAGUCCACACUGCGCACCCCCAUGCUGCGGGCACCCGGGAUGA